Molecule: ribosomal RNA, 164 nt
Filed under: uncultured bacterium
Lineage: Bacteria
Description: partial 16S ribosomal RNA
Rfam family: Bacterial small subunit ribosomal RNA
Source: RNAcentral
UAGGGAAUCUUCCACAAUGGACGCAAGUCUGAUGGAGCAACGCCGCGUGAGUGAAGAAGGGUUUCGGCUCGUAAAGCUCUGUUGUUAAAGAAGAACACGUAUGAGAGUAACUGUUCAUACGUUGACGGUAUUUAACCAGAAAGUCACGGCUAACUACGUACCAG